CCGGGUAAGACCCGAUGACUACGUGUGGAGAUUUUGUCCGGGUAAGACCCGAUAACUACGUGUGGGGACUAUUCGAGCUAAAGGUUUCGCUGAAGAUUCGAGUAAAGCAUAAGAUUAUACGACUUCACAGUAACAAUUGGUAAUAAAUACGUUCAAUGCGUUAAGUUGGUCAGGUAUGUAUUUUGAGAUUAUAUUUAAGCUUGAUUUGGACUAAAUCACAAGGUCGUUAUGUGACGCAUAUGUGAGUAAAGCAAUAAGACUGUUCUAUGAUUAUUGUGCGUUUGGUCAAUGUGGAAAGUUAGGUGAAAACAUGUAAUGUACCUAUGUUUAUAAGAGAUCACUAUCAAGUGAGAAUUUAUCUGCCUAUUAUAUAUGAUGAGAUGUGCAUAUUCGGUAAAGGGAUGGUAUGCCCGAAGGAAGAGUGAAAUAAAGAUACGAACAACUAUGUUAUAAUUUGAUUGUUAUCUGUUAACACUGCUUAAAACUUACUAAGCAUUGUAAUGCUUACUCCGUUUACUUUGUUUCCUCUGUUUUAUAGAUCUCAUUUGGAAGCUACAGGCUCGGGGAUCGUCAGCAACUAGUCACACUAUCACUAUCCACUGCUUGUUACUGUUAUGUUUUGAAUUAUUCUAUGGCAUGUAAAGAAUAGACCAGUGGCUGAAGAAUAUUUUGGUUAAUGUAUAUAAGCCAUGCGAAAAUGGCAUCUUUUGAAUGUGUACUUAUAGAAGUUAAAUUGUAUCCCUGA
This 745-nucleotide long non-coding RNA is filed under the name Gossypium barbadense (sea-island cotton). RNAcentral describes it as "long non-coding RNA (GBAR_LNC004350)". The record is from RNAcentral. Lineage: Eukaryota; Viridiplantae; Streptophyta; Magnoliopsida; Malvales; Malvaceae.